UCCGGAGGGUGCGAUCGUUGUUCGGAAUUACUGGGCGUAAAGGGGGCGUAGGCGGUUUGUUAAGUCAAGUGUGAAAGUCCACGGCUUAACUGUGGAAGUGCAUUUGAGACUGGCAGGCUAGAGUUUCGGAAGGGAAAGUGGAAUUCCUGGUGUAGGAGUGAAAUCCGUAGAUAUCAGGAGGAAUACCGGUGGCGAAGGCGACUUUCUGGACGAAUACUGACGCUGAGGCCCGAAAGCGUGGGGAGCAAACAGG
This 253-nucleotide ribosomal RNA is filed under the name uncultured bacterium. Its description in RNAcentral is "partial 16S ribosomal RNA". It matches the Rfam family "Bacterial small subunit ribosomal RNA", at positions 524 to 776 of the family's 1533-position model. The record is from RNAcentral.